Small nuclear RNA from Lemur catta (Ring-tailed lemur), 144 nucleotides. RefSeq annotates it as U4 spliceosomal RNA. The record is from RefSeq and is a predicted model, not a curated record. The transcript has a single exon. NCBI's taxonomy places the organism in Eukaryota, Metazoa, Chordata, Mammalia, Primates, Lemuridae.
GGCUUUGUGCAGUGGCAGUAUUAUAGCCAAUGAGAUUUAUCCAAGGCACAAUUACUGCUAAUUGAAACUUUUCCCAAUACCCCCCCAUGAUGACUUGCAACAAACACAGUUGGCACUGGCAAUUUUUGACAGUCUCUACAGAGA